AUUCCAGCUCCAAUAGCGAAUACUAAUUCUGCUGCAGUUAAAAAGCUCGUAGUUGAACUUCUGGUAGGACAGAUCCGGCCUUUGGAUGAAUGUCCAUUGUAUGCUGUGUGUCUUGUCUGGCCAUCCUUUAUGUCUUUUAGGCGUAAUCUUUCACUGUAAAAAAAUUAGGGUGUUUCAAGCAAAAGUUAUUUGGAAUAUAUUAGUAUGGGAUGAUAAGAUAGGCUCUUGAGUGCUACUUUGUUGGUUUCUAAGGCCGAGGUAAUGAUUAAUAGGGAUAGUUGGGGGCGUCUAUAUUCCGUUGUCAGAGGUGAAAUUCUUGGAUUUACGGAAGAUAAACUACUGCGAAAGCAUUCGCCAAGGAUGUUUUCAUUA
RNAcentral lists this ribosomal RNA (372 nucleotides) under Thraustochytriidae sp. Its description in RNAcentral is "Thraustochytriaceae sp. partial small subunit ribosomal RNA". It matches the Rfam family "Eukaryotic small subunit ribosomal RNA", at positions 582 to 975 of the family's 1831-position model. Lineage: Eukaryota; Bigyra; Thraustochytrida; Thraustochytriidae. The record is from RNAcentral.